UCCUGCCAGAGGUCACUGCUAUCGGGGUUCGAUUAAGCCAUGCGAGUCGAGAGGGUUCGGCCCUCGGCGUACUGCUCAGUAACACGUGGAUAACCUGCCCUAGGGAAGGGGAUAACCCCGGGAAACUGGGGAUAAUACCCUAUAGAUUACAGAUGCUGGAAUGCCCUGUAAUCCAAAGUUCCGACGCCCUAGGAUGGAUCUGCGGCCGAUUAGGUUGUUGUUGGGGUAAUGGCCCAACAAGCCCGUAAUCGGUACGGGUUGUGGGAGCGGGCAACCGUGAUAAGGGAACCUCGAGUGCCUGUAAAUGCAGGCUGUNCAGGUGCCUAAAACACACCUGAAGAAAGGGCCGGNCAAGACCGGUGNCAGCCGCCGGGGUAAUACCGGNGGCUCGAGUGGUGGCCGCUUUUAUUCCNCUUAAAGCGUNCGUAGCUGGGUGGUUAAGUCUCUUGGNAAAUCUGGNGGCUUACCCGACAGGNGUCUAAGGGAUACUGGCAAUCUUGGAACCGGGAGAGGUGAGGGGUACUUCGGGGGUAGGAGUGAAAUCCUGUAAUCCUCGAGGGACCACCUGUGGCGAAGGCGCCUCACCAGAACGGCUUCGACAGUGAGGGACGAAAGCUGGGGGAGCAAACCGGAUUAGAUACCCGGGUAGUCCCAGCCGUAAACUAUGCGCGUUAGGUGUAUCGGUGACCACGAGUUACCGAGGUGCCGAAGGGAAACCGUGAAACGUGCCGCCUGGGAAGUACGGUCGCAAGGCUGAAACUUAAAGGAAUUGGCGGGGGAGCACCACAACAGGUGGAGCCUGCGGUUUAAUUGGACUCAACGCCGGGAAGCUCACCGGAUAAGACAGCAGAAUGAUUGCCGGGCUGAAGACUCUGCAUGACUAGCUGAGAGGAGGUGCAUGACCGUCGUCAGUUCGUACUGUGAA
RNAcentral lists this ribosomal RNA (925 nucleotides) under Methanoculleus sp. BA1. RNAcentral's name for it is "bacterial SSU rRNA". It matches the Rfam family "Archaeal small subunit ribosomal RNA", at positions 12 to 1020 of the family's 1478-position model. Lineage: Archaea; Methanobacteriati; Methanobacteriota; Methanomicrobia; Methanomicrobiales; Methanomicrobiaceae. The record is from RNAcentral.